RNAcentral lists this transfer RNA (73 nucleotides) under Bacillus cereus. RNAcentral describes it as "tRNA-Thr". It matches the Rfam family "tRNA". From Rfam's summary of the family: Transfer RNA (tRNA) molecules are approximately 80 nucleotides in length. Their secondary structure includes four short double-helical elements and three loops (D, anti-codon, and T loops). Further hydrogen bonds mediate the characteristic L-shaped molecular structure. tRNAs have two regions of fundamental functional importance: the anti-codon, which is responsible for specific mRNA codon recognition, and the 3' end, to which the tRNAs corresponding amino acid is attached (by aminoacyl-tRNA synthetases). tRNAs cope with the degeneracy of the genetic code in two manners: having more than one tRNA (with a specific anti-codon) for a particular amino acid; and 'wobble' base-pairing, i.e. permitting non-standard base-pairing at the 3rd anti-codon position. Lineage: Bacteria; Bacillati; Bacillota; Bacilli; Caryophanales; Bacillaceae. The record is from RNAcentral. RNAcentral also lists the same sequence under 2 other names.
GCUUCCAUAGCUUAGUAGGUAGAGCACUUGCAUGGUAAGCAAGAGGUCGUCGGUUCGAUUCCGGCUGGAAGCA